This 920-nucleotide long non-coding RNA is filed under the name Lynx pardinus (Iberian lynx). Lineage: Eukaryota; Metazoa; Chordata; Mammalia; Carnivora; Felidae. The record is from RNAcentral.
UAAGAUAACCUAACCAGUUGGCAGUAUCUCACGCCCUGAGAUGGGUUUUCCAAAGACCAAAUGGACCAUUUUCUUGUCCUUUCAAAGAGAGCCACACAGGAAGGAAAACAAGAAAUUCAACUUUUAAGCUGGGCUAUUCAUGGCCUUUGCUAAAUCCUGGCAAAGAGUCACAGUUUUUCAUUACGAUUCAUCUCACUGAUUUCCUAAUGGAAUGAACUGGCCUUUUCAUUAAGGCCAUUGGAGAGUGAAGUUGGGUUACCCAAGUCAUUAAGUGUUGUUAUCUGAUGAGUGAAAAAUGGAUUACUUUUCAAUAUGCAUUUGGGGAUCCCUGUGUUUUCUUUCACUGGGUUCUAUUUUGUGAAAAUUGGUUCAAGGGGAAGGAGAAGGUCAAUGUUGCAUAUUCUCCCAUGCUGGAACAAUGUAUGCCUUUCUGCUCUGUGGGCAGUAGAAAUAAAAUAGAUGGGUUCAGUAAUUGGAAAUGUAGUGCUAACAUUCUUAUUUCCCAUCUUUAAGAGAGCCUAGCCAUCUCACCCACUUGAGAACAUUCUAUUCCCGUAACCAAUAGGAAUGUUACUUCAUUAGUUUCUUAGCUUUUCCAUUAAAGCAGACAGACACGCACACACACGUGCACACACAGUGACAUUUGUUCCUUCUACCAAACCCCACUUCAUAGAGAUAUCAGUUUGCAUAAGAGAAGAGAACAGAUUUAUUUAAACCCCAUCCUGAAUUCACUAUUAGGAAUAUAACGCUCUCUAACACUGAACUUAAUAAAAUAUGCUGUGGCUAAGCCAUGUAAUUACAUCUUUGUUUAACUUUAGUGAAAUUCACUGUGAAACACCUUCUGUAAUUUACAAAUUAUUGAAAUGAAUACUUGGCAUGUACUUUUUUGGGGAUAAUAUUAAAUAUAACCUUAGAAGGUA